GGCUUUUAUUUUGCCACACUGCAAAUGUGGUUUUGCUUAUAGCAAAAGUCU
RNAcentral lists this transfer RNA (51 nucleotides) under Janira maculosa. Its description in RNAcentral is "tRNA-Cys". Lineage: Eukaryota; Metazoa; Arthropoda; Malacostraca; Isopoda; Janiridae. The record is from RNAcentral.